Molecule: long non-coding RNA, 338 nt
Filed under: Gossypium barbadense (sea-island cotton)
Lineage: Eukaryota; Viridiplantae; Streptophyta; Magnoliopsida; Malvales; Malvaceae
Description: long non-coding RNA (GBAR_LNC001392)
Source: RNAcentral
UCGGAGAUCCAUCCACACUACGAUCAUUCUUAUUUUGAAAUUCUUAUUUUGAAUUAUGGCAUGUAUAGAGGACUUGGUUAUUUUUUUAUAUGUCAUAAUUGAUUUGGCCUAAAAUGUUGGCCUUUAAUAUUUGAUAACUCAUUUUGUAUAAGGCAAUCAAUGUUGGCUAAUAUUAGUUAAGUUAAAUGUUAUGAUGAUGCAUUUUGUGAGAGGCAUGAGUUGAUUGAGUGAGUGUGUAAUGACUAAGUAUGGAAAAUGUGGUAGGUGAAUGGUUGUGUGAAGGGCACGGCCUUGCGGGCAUAUGCCCCUAUUUUCAUGAAAUUUUCCAAUGUUCUCCA